GACGAACGCUGGCGGCGUGCUUAACACAUGCAAGUCGAGCGGUAAGGCCCUUUCGGGGGGUACACGAGCGGCGAACGGGUGAGUAACACGUGGGUGACCUGCCCUCAGCUCUGGGAUAAGCCUGGGAAACCGGGUCUAAUACCGGAUAUGACUCCAUGACGCAUGUUGUGGGGUGGAAAGCCUUGUGCGGCUGAGGAUGGGCCCGCGGCCUAUCAGCUUGUUGGUGGGGGAUGGCCUACCAAGGCGACGACGGGUAGCCGGCCUGAGAGGGCGACCGGCCACACUGGGACUGAGACACGGCCCAGACUCCUACGGGAGGCAGCAGUGGGGAAUCUUGCGC
RNAcentral lists this ribosomal RNA (340 nucleotides) under uncultured bacterium. RNAcentral describes it as "bacterial SSU rRNA". It matches the Rfam family "Bacterial small subunit ribosomal RNA", at positions 28 to 369 of the family's 1533-position model. The record is from RNAcentral.